Molecule: ribosomal RNA, 253 nt
Filed under: uncultured bacterium
Lineage: Bacteria
Description: partial 16S ribosomal RNA
Rfam family: Bacterial small subunit ribosomal RNA
Source: RNAcentral
UACGGAGGGUGCAAGCGUUGUUCGGAAUCACUGGGCGUAAAGCGCGUGUAGGCGGCCUUCUCGGUCUGGUGUGAAAGCCCGGGGCUCACCCCCGGAAGUGCAUUGGAUACUGGAAGGCUGGAGUACCGGAGAGGAGGGUGGAAUUCCUGGUGUAGCGGUGAAAUGCGUAGAUAUCAGGAGGAACACCGGUGGCGAAAGCGGCCCUCUGGACGGAUACUGACGCUGAGACGCGACAGCGUGGGGAGCAAACAGG